AUCUUUUACUUUUACACAACCUUUUGUAAGUAGUUAAUGGAGAAUUUACAAUAAUUAGUAGAUAGUUAGGCGUUUAAAAUAUGUCUAUUAAACUAACAGCUACUUGUUCAAGCAAUAUGUUCUUUAUAAAUACAUAUUGAUAUGAUAUUGUUUGUGUUCAAGUGUACUUUUCUUGUUAGGGACAUUAAGAUUAUUUAAAAUUUCUUGUAUUAAGUGUUUAGACAGAGAUUCCUCAUUAUAUUUUUAUAUGGAUAACAAAAUUAAUUGCUGCUUUGUAAAUAAUUAUGGAGCUUGUUAUAAACAAUCAUAUACUCAAAAAAGAAAUCUGAUUGAAGAUGUUGACAGCAAUGAUCGUAAGCUACUUAAAAAACAAACAAAUCUGAAACAAGAACAAAUUACUAAUAUAUGCACACACCAUCAUGAUAUGUUAGUUGUAUGAUAUGAGGGUAAUCAGAAAAGUUGCUGUAAUUCAUUUCUGAGUCACCAAAAGGUGUGUAGAGCAUCGCUACGUGUGAUUACAAUGCAUACUGUGUUAGAAACAGAAACCAUAGGUUUAAAUCUUAUACCUGGAAAAAAACUGUGUCCAACCUGUUGAAGUAAAGUUAUGACAUGUUUAUCAAAAAGUAGAAGUGAAAAUAAAAAUGAUGAAGAUUUUGAUAUUGUUAAUGAAAAAUCCAUUCAAAAUAAAAAAGAAAGUGUAGAUGCACACUUUGCAUCUGCCGGAGUAUCUCCAAUUAAGGUCAAAGGAUUGCACAAGUCAGGUAAAAUCAAUAAUGAGUGUAUAGAAAAAGCAAACUUGUUUGAUAACAUGAUGGUAUUGUUAACAACAAAAUUGCAGAGUCUAAAUUAACAUCAAAAAAAGUACAACUUGCGAUACUUGCUCCAACAGACUGGUCAAUAAAAAAGUAUCUGAAACAUUGCAUGUAACAAACUAUGUAGCUCGAACUGCACGUAAGUUAACAUUAGAAAAAGGUAUUUUAACCAUGCCUAAUCCUAAAUUAGAAAAAGCUCUUCCUGAUGUAACAGUUCAACUGGUCAAGACCUUUUACGAAGAUGAUGAACAUAGCCAUAUAAUGCCUGGUAAAAAGGACUAUGUAAGCAUAAAGAAAAAUGUCCACAUGCAAAAACGUUUGCUCUUAUGUAAUUUUAAGGAAUUGUUUGUUGCCUUUAAAACCAAGAACCCAGAAAUAAAAAUAGGAUUUUCAAGGUUUUGCACCUUGCGACCUAAAUGGUGUAUUACUGUUGGUGCCUCAGGAACACAUUCUGUAUGCGUCUGUGCUAUUCAUCAGAAUUUGAAACUGCUUUCACACCCUCUUGGUGUGACAUACAAAGAAUUGUUACCUUAUAUUGACGUGAUAUAACUAAUAAAGACUGUAUGAUGAGGAAAUGUGAAAAAAGCCUAGCAACUAUGAAUGCAUUGGUUGAAAAACUUUAUGAUAUACUUGGAGAAUUUGAAGAUGAUGAUGAGAUUGAAUUUGAUCAAUGGACAACAACAGAUAGGUUAAACUUGACACAUAAUAAAAAGCCAGUGUUUGAAAACAUUGAACUAGUAUGUAGAAAACUGGAAAAACUUGCACCACAUUCGUAUUUAGCAAAGAGUCAAGCAUUAUACCUGAGAUCAAGAAAGGAAGAUAUGAAUGAGGUAACAGCAUUAUUUCUGGGUGAUUUUUCAGAAAACUAUAAAUUUGUAGUUCAGGAUGAAGUGCAAAGCUUUCAUUGGACAAAUUUACAAUGUACACUUCAUCCAGUGAUUAUUUAUUUUAAAAAUUUAUAUUGGCAUUCUUAUAAUACAAAUCCUAUUGUAUUAUUUCAGAUGAUAUGAUCCAUGAUGUGAACAUGGUUUAUAAAAUUAUUGAGGUUGUUUGUAAUGAUAUAAAAACAAAUUUGCCUCAAAUAAAAAAUAUUGAAUACUUUUUAGAUGGGUGUGCAGGUCAAUAUAAAAAUUGCAAAAGUAUGUUAAAUCUUUGUUUCCAUUGUGAAGAUUUUGGUUUUACUGCUAAAUGGAACUUUUUUGCAACUAGUCACAGUAAGCAACCUUGUGAUGGGAUAGGUGGUACAGUCAAACGUCUGGCAACACUAGUAAGUUUGCAAAGAGAUAUGGGUAAUCAUAUUUUAUUUCCACAAACAAUGUAUAAAUAUUGCAAAUAAAAGAUUGAAGGCAUAAAUUUCAUAUAUAUUUCAUCAGAAGAUUUAACUUUGGUGAGAACCGCUCUUAAAGAAUGAUUGGAUACUGCUAAUACAAUACCUGGAACACAUAGUUACCAUCAGUUUGUACCACUUGGCCAUCAAAAGGUAGGCACUAAGCUAUGUUGAUGAAGAAUUUGAUUUAAUUCAUGACUUUGGAAAUAUCAAGAUAACAACUGCAAACCUAGUACCAGGUGAUUAUGCCUAUGUUUCCUAUGAGCAAAAGUGGUGGAUAGGAGUCAUUGAAGAUAUUAAUUUAGAAGAAAAAGAUGUGCUUGUAAAAUUUAUGUGUCCUUAUGGUCCUGCACGGUCGUUUGAAUGGCCACCAAAGGAAAGCCAAUACCCACAUUAUUUGCAAAGUUGAGGUACCGAUAACAAAAACAGGACUUUGCUACUAUUUAGCCAAAGAGGACUUAAAAAAAAUUAUUUUCUUAAGUAAGUAGAGAUUUUUAUAUUU
Molecule: non-coding RNA, 2641 nt
Organism: Hydra vulgaris (swiftwater hydra)
Lineage: Eukaryota; Metazoa; Cnidaria; Hydrozoa; Anthoathecata; Hydridae
Source: RefSeq, a predicted model, not a curated record